GAAUUGUUCGCAAUGGGCGCAAGCCUGACGACGCAACGCCGCGUGGAGGAUGAAGACCUUCGGGUCGUAAACUCCUUUCGACCGAGAUGAAUACCUGCCGACCUAACACGUCGGCAGGCUGACAGUAUCGAGGGAAGAAGCCCCGGCUCACCCCGUUCCAGCAGCCGCAGUAAUACGGGGGGGGCAAGCGUUGUUCGGAAUUACUGGGCGGAAAGGGUUCGUAGGUGGCCGGCUAAGUCAGACGUGAAAUCCCUCAGCUUAACUGGGGAACUGCGUCUGAGACUGGUCGGCUCGAGUGCAGGAGAGGAACGCGGAAUUCCAGGUGUAGCGGUGAAAUGCGUAGAUAUCUGGAGGAACACCGGUGGCGAAGGCGGCGUUCUGGACUGCAACUGACACUGAGGAACGAAAGCCAGGGGAGCAAACGGG
Molecule: ribosomal RNA, 426 nt
Filed under: uncultured bacterium
Lineage: Bacteria
Description: bacterial SSU rRNA
Rfam family: Bacterial small subunit ribosomal RNA
Source: RNAcentral